RNAcentral lists this long non-coding RNA (1028 nucleotides) under Mus musculus (house mouse). RNAcentral's name for it is "RIKEN cDNA A230065N10 gene". Lineage: Eukaryota; Metazoa; Chordata; Mammalia; Rodentia; Muridae. The record is from RNAcentral.
ACGGGAUCCAACGUCCUACCCGGACCAUUACCUUGUUGAGAUGGGGGUUCCUGGUGACAUCGUAUCCGCGCUUCUUCAGGGGUACGGGUCGAGGCGGGCCAGACUUGGAGUGGCAGCCCUGGGCGGGCGCGGAAGGUGCCUGGCGCCGAAGACUGCUGCAGGCUAUGCGAGGCACGGAGGUCAGCCGCGCGCCAGUGCCCAGCGCGGCGCCCAUAGCCCUGGCACAGACCUGGAACCAGGGCGAGACCAAGGUCAGGGGUGCCCUCUAGGCAAGCCAGGUCCUGCGCGCCAGCAGGGCGCCGGACCUGAGCUCUCGGAGAGGCUGGGGGUUCCUGAUGGAAGGCGCUAGCCUCCUCCCCUUGUCCGAGGCCACCUGCUCCUCGCUUGGUUGCGAUGCUCACCCCUCAGCCAGCAAAGCGAAAGCAAGCCCAGAAAGCAGAUCCCGUGCGGAUGACAGCCCGUGCCUCCCUGCCCCCAUAUGGGAGAAUACUCUCCAAGGAGUCCCCGCACCCUCAGUACCUGUGGUUAACCUUGGUUUCUCCUUCUUCCGCUUACCUGCCUAACUGGAGAAGCUGAAGUCUAUGCAGUCCCACUGCGAGCAGGUGGGGCAAGGCGCUACUGUCCCCUGUCACUCUCUGGCCAAAGGCAGCACCUCACAGGCAGUGCUAGCUCACGGGACUGAUGCAUUCAGUAAAACAGUCUCCAAACCUUUCCUUGCGGGACCAGAUUUUCCUUGAGGAUAUGCGCGGGGGCUCUUCAUAACAAGACAGGAUGAAGCUCAUUUUCCUCCCACAUGAGGGUUUUUGUGCUUUUGUACCCUGGCACUCUCUAUCCAGAGGUCUGAAUGGCACUUAGGGGAGAACACUUGAGGGUCAGCAUGCCCCCACCUCUUGAGCAAGACCUGGGCAAGAAUGCUGUCAGUAUAGUAACCAUUAGCCACAUGUAGCUGUAAUACUCUAAAUAAAAUACAAUUUUAAAUCCAUUUUACAGUAAAUAAAAUUUCUAAAUAAAAUACAAUUUUAAAUCCC